Molecule: long non-coding RNA, 521 nt
Filed under: Ananas comosus (pineapple)
Lineage: Eukaryota; Viridiplantae; Streptophyta; Magnoliopsida; Poales; Bromeliaceae
Description: long non-coding RNA (ACOM_LNC000661)
Source: RNAcentral
GAAUAGCUGUUGGAGGUGGAGGACAAAGAGGAGUUGGGUGUAGAAGAAGAACAAGGAAGUGGGGAGGAAGGAGGAGAACAGUAUAAUUAUCUUUUAAAGAGUGCAACUUUCAUUUAAAUAGUGCAAUUUACAUCUAUAAAAUGCAACGUUCUUUUAAAGCAGUGCAAUUUCAUUUUAACAGUACAACUUUAUUUUCUUCUUUUUUAUUUUCUAGUUUUUCUUCAUUAUUCUCUAAUUUUUGGGCUUCAGUUAAUUUUUUUUUUAAGCAAACAAAAGUACUUGAUCAGAGUGGAGGUGGAGGUGGAGGUGGAGGACGAAGAGAAGUUGGGCGUAGAUGAAGCACAAGAAAGCGGAGGGAAAGGAGGAUGAGGAGAAACAAUGUAAUUAUCUUCCAAAAGUGUAAAUUUUAUUUAAAGAGUGUAAUGUUUAUCUUAAAAGGCGCAGUUUACAUCUCAAAGAGUUGGUCAGUUUUCUAAAAAUUAGGACCGAAUCUAUAUAAUCCAAAAUGAUAAUCUAUUUUU